Molecule: long non-coding RNA, 873 nt
Organism: Vespa velutina
Lineage: Eukaryota; Metazoa; Arthropoda; Insecta; Hymenoptera; Vespidae
Exons: 3
Source: RefSeq, a predicted model, not a curated record
UAACGAAGGGCGCCAAAAAUAAAAGAGAUUAAAAAGACGACAGGAACACGAAGAAAAUUAUAAAUUCUUCCUUCGACUCUUCUAGAGACAACAGAAGAAUGCUGGAAGUCAUAGUCUGAUUAUAUCUAUUGUAUAUCUAUUGUAUAUCUAACAAAGUUAAAUAAAUAUAUCAUAAUUGUUACUUGAUGUGCGAAGUUUCUUUUUACGUAAUGGGUUUUCUACGAAUAACCCACAUCGUUGUUUAUCGUUGAAGCAGUCUCUUGAAAUUUAUUUGAAAUGAAGUACUGUAGGGAGUUAAAAAAAAUACUGUUCCAUCCAAAAAGAUAUUAACUAAUGGAAAAAAAUAUAAUUCUCGCAUUACUUUCGACGAUUGUAUCAACAAUGUUAAUAACGUGACAUUGCAGCAGAAUUGCAACUAGCAUAAUCACAAUAUGGCAAACAUUGUUAUUGAGAUAUAGAAAUUUAUUUGCAGAACAUAAUAAUGACAUAAUUUGGCAGCGUAUUAAAGGACACUACUUUAAUGCAACGGAGCACGUAAAGACUAAGAAUGUAGUUAACUACAUUAAUUAGAAAUUUUAAAUAGAUAAGGGUUUAGGACAGUUUCUAACAAAAAGAGAGAGUUAUGAUGGAAAAUUCUAUUGUCUCAUUGACAACUCUCAAAGUCUUUGGAAUGAUAAUAUUUGGGCCUUCUUUAGGAUGAAAAACAAGCCAAAAACGAAUAAUUACAAUUGCAGUAAAUAUUUUUGAAAAAAAAAUAUUUUGUAUGUCACCAUAAGAUACAAUCAACUAUAAUAUUAAGGUAAUGCACUAACAAUAUAUAUAAAAUUAAAUGAUAUGUUAUAAAAAUAGACUACAAAAUUAAUAAAAUUUGAU